Molecule: small nuclear RNA, 107 nt
Organism: Arvicola amphibius (Eurasian water vole)
Lineage: Eukaryota; Metazoa; Chordata; Mammalia; Rodentia; Cricetidae
Source: RefSeq, a predicted model, not a curated record
GUGCUCCCUUAGCAGCCCUCACACUGUAACUGCAAUGACACAGAAAAGAUAAGCCUGAACCCUGCACAAGAAUGACAUGAGGUAUUUGAAAUGCAUUUUAAGAUACA